UAACCUAACAGAGUGUCCAUGAGGAUGCAGGUUCAAUCCCCGGUCUCGCUCAGUGAAUUAAGGAUCUGGUGUUGCUGUGAGCUAUGGUGUAGGCUCGGAUCCCAAGUUGCUCUGGCUGUGGUGUAGGCCGGCAGCUACAGCUCCAAUUUGACUCCUAGGCUGGGAACUUCCAUAUGCUGCAGGUGUGGCCCUAAAAUAAAAAAAAUAAAGAGAGAGAGAGAGAGAAUGAGGCUCAGACACAUGCAGGAUUUGCCCUUGGAAGCCAGACCUGUUGUCUCUAGUUUCUGCUAUUUCUACUCCCUCUUUGCCGCCAUCUAGUAAACUUGACUGUGUCCCCAUCUGUGAAAUGGGCCCUGGAUACCAGGUAGCAAAUGUCUCUAAGCCAAACCAUGGGGGAAGAACUCCAACCUCAUAAUGGGAAGGAGCAACAGACAGCAAAGGAGAGGUGUCCAAGCAGGCCGCCGUGGACUUGCUGUGACUCCAGAGGUGCUGAAAGGAGGUGAGAGUCCUGGGAUCAGAGCCACAGAGUUGAUGACCCCCAGCAUAGCCAGCAGCAGGGGCGCUGCAGGCCCAGCCCCUGCCCCGGGGCACCUGGAGAAGCGGGGUCUGGGUGGGGACUCCACACACCCCGGGUUGCACUGCGUUGAGGAUCCCAGGGCCAGGGGCUCAGCACUUGUAGCAGGCAGCCACUUGGCAGUCACACUGGUCACCUUAGCCAGCCCCUGGGUAUGUGACUGCCUGCAGAAACUGCCCAGCACCAGGGAUGGUUAGGCUUUGCGGUUGGCAUACUCAGCAGAAUAAGCAGGGGAGCCCAGGGAGCCUGGGCAGCGCGGGGUGGGACUGGGGCCCCCGCAGAAAACACAGACCCCACAACUGAGUCUCAGUGCUAUCCCCGACGUGCUGUGUGGCUUCAGGCCCGUGGCUGCCCCUUUAGGUCUCAGUUUGCUCACCUGGGAAAUGGGGAGAACAGUUCCCACCUGGCUGGGCGUGGAGACUGACAGGAAACGGUAUGUAAGUGCCGAGCCAGGGGUGAGGGUCUGAGGGCUUGAGACAGGAGCUGCAUCUUUGAGGGGUUUGGGUCCAGGAACCACAUCUCAGUCCCGGGUCUCCCCUGGGGCUCCAAGGAGGAGCCGCAGCUCCUCAGAUCAACAGCUGUCCUUUCCUCCCUCAUGGAAACCUACUAACAUGUCAGGACCUGUCCCCUCCCAGGGCCCCUUAGGUUCCAGGGCCUGAAGUGGCCCUUUCCUGUCUGUCCCCCGCUCCUUGUAAAUCGUAGGGGCUGCCCUGCUCAGGAAUGGGGCAUGAGGGGUCUGGGGGGGGGUCCGUCUGGUUAAAGAGCAUGUGAGGGUGGGCAAGGGCCUGUGCCUGGGAGGGUGCACCAGCCCCCCAGACCGGGGCCAGAGAGCAGAUGGGGGUGCUCGGGAGCCAUGGGUCCUGAUUAUUGCUGAGUUACCACGUGAUCAAGCCAUUGUCCACGGAGCUGGACCCCGUGCCUGACUUGACACUGGUUUCUGGGUUUGCAGCCUCCAGGAAGGUGGAGGUUGGAGAAGAUGCUGGAAUCACCCAGCUGCUCCCUCUCCAGGGGUCCCUAGUGUGUGUGCUACUGCCCCGACCCCCCUGGGAGUCCCAGGCCCCCGCCCAGGGAUCCUAAGCCUUAAAUGGGUGGGAACCCUAGAACCUGCACUGCAAGGAUACCCUGUCUCUGCCCAGGCCUGGGCAGGAGACUGGCUUUGGCCUGGGGAUAGGAGAUACUGGGUGAGUCCCUCCCUUCCUCUGAGGCUCCCUGGCCCUCUGUGAGAGGGGUUACUGCUUUCUGCUUCCAUGGCUGCUUCUACCAAAAGUUCUGUGGGAUGCUGCCGAGGAACGUGCCAUGGCCUGUGUUUGGCACACAGUAGGCACUUGUCAAUGUGACCAUCCUGGCAACUCCAGCACCAGCAAGUACUAAGCAACACAACAGUCAUGAGAGCUGACCUGCUGCAUGCUUCUCAUGCUAAGUGUUGCCUUCCGCACAAUUUGGGGACCUGGGCACCUUUUUGGCCCCUUUUACAGAAGAGACCAGUGAGGUUUAGAGAGCAGGCUUGCAGGGGAAGUGGACGGACUGGGCCGCAAACUCAGGCCUCUUUGUCUGGCCUGGCCCACGUGCCUUCUCCCAUUAGGUGGAGAAACAGUGGCCCUGGAGCUGUCUGUGGCAGUGCGGUUACUAUAGCAGCCACCUCAGCCCCCGAGAGGGGAAGUGGAAAAUAGGCCAGAGCAGUAAUGAGGCUGCACGGUUCUGAUCUGUCCCCUGAUGGGAUCAGGCUUCACAAGCCUUCUUCCCACAUCAGAGGCAGCCCAGUGUCUGGGCCGUGGAUCAAAGGCCAGUCGUCUCUGCGCCCAGACACUGCGCCUGGCUCAGGCCUCAGAAGGUCCCCCCUUGAUCCUCCCACAGUGAGUCAUGCUGUUGCUGGCACCAGCCUCUGCCUGUUCCCUAAGGAUGUCACUUGCUGCCUGGAUCGGCAGUGAGCAGCGGUCCUGAGAAGGGCUCGUGCCCCAAACAGCUUGCACGGGGCUGCCCGAGACCCCACCUUGGGACCCAUAUGGCUUCCUUUCAAGGGGCAGCUCAUGGAGGGCAAGGGGCUUUUCAUGCUGGCAAACCCAGGUUUGACUCUGUGGUCCAUGUGGGGCUCUGGUCCUCUGACUCCCUUCCUCCGAUGGUCAACGUCCUUGUCUCAGUGCUGUGCAAAGAGGUGAUGCCUGCAAUGGCUCAGAAUGCAGCAGAGCAGACACAAGUCCUGCCUCCCCAUCAUGCUGUGGGACCUUGACCACACAUUCAACCUCUCUGAGCCUGUUUCCUCAUCCUCUUGUGACGAUGAAACAAGGUGACAAGUUUGCUCAAACCUUGUCUUCUCAGGCGGCUUCUCUAGCAACUGAACCCCACCCCUGCUCUCCCACCAAAAUCUAUAUAAUUUAUUUAUGCAGUAGGGUUACUGUUCCUUGUCCAACUGCCCCCCUGGAAUGUCAGCCCCUCUGGCGUGAGAGCAGGGAUCUUCCAUUUGUUUUCUAACGUAUCCCAAGUAAUAGAACAGCGCCGGGCAUGCAGUGGACGGAAGCUUGUUGAGUGAUUAUGUGUGGUCCCUAGAGCAGGACGGCUGCAUCAGUGACCACCCCCGUUUUCUCUCUGGCUCCCUCUCCUUUCCUGGCACAACCCCAGGCUUCUGCUGUGACCUCACCCCAUGCAUUCACAUCCCCCUCUGGUCCUGGAGCCCCUGGGCCUCAGCUUGGGAAAGGCGGGGACACCUGAGCCAACAGCCUGGGUCUGUGUGGUCCAUGGAAGCCUCUGCCCACGCCCCCAUGUGAGGUCGGGCCUCCUCUGCCAGCUCUGGGGAAAUUUCCAGAAGGGCUCCUGAGACGCAAGGAGGGGAGCAGCUUGUCCCAAUCUUCAUAGCUAAGACCACAGGGUUCUGGGCUCGGGGUUCCCUCUCUGCCGAAGACCCCUGGGGGCCACAUCUGCCCAGUGAGGUUGUGACGGGUGGGUAUGAGCUGCCCUGGGAUGCCCUAGAAGACCACAGACCCGGCCUCCUCCAGAAUUCCGGCCUCUCCCUGCCUGUCUCCUGUCUCCCUCCCCGGAAUCCAGUUCCUUCCAGAGAAACCAAAGUGAACCCACUGAGAGCGCCCAGAAUAAACAGUGACUAUAGGAGGAGACCCACCCCCGUGGAGCAGGGAGGAGGAUCGGGAAACACAGACAGAACCGAAGUGCAAGUGGGCUCCCGGCUUCCUGUCCUCAAGAUGCUUAUGUGAAGGAGAUGCACCAGAAAAUUCCACUCAGCAAAGGCUGCUCCUCGUAAUUAACGCUGCAGGGAAACAAGGACAGAACAGCAAAGGGCUCAUCCGGGGCAGGUCCACCGACGUGGGGUCACGUGGGCUAUGUCCCUGGGGCUUCAGGACCCGUGUCACCCCCUCAGCAUGCAGAGACCUGGGCGGGGGGACCAGGUGGGGGGGGUGUGGAGGCGGGGGCUCCUGGGGACCCUGCAUGUUAGUGCCCAGAAGCUCCUGGUGUCUUCCCCCUGCAGACACGGGGGAAGGGCAAGUCCCUUCCUUCUCUCCGAGCAGAGGAGUUUCAGAUCUGUCAGCCCCUUCAUGGCAUCUGCAACGCACGGGAUCUUGGAAUUAGAGCAUCUUUCACAGACUCACAGACGCUUUCACACAGUCUUUGAAUCACAGAACCUGAGAAUCCUAGAAUUCUAGAAUCAUAGGACCAUUCAAGGACUUACGGGCCUGAGAGUCGUAGAAUUAAGGAAUCUCUGGAGAAGACCUGGAGCCUCACCCACAGCUUAUUGGACCCUUGGAAUCGCAGCAUCAACUCUGAUAAACCUGGCAUUGAAACAGUCACCCUGAAGUCAGAACCGUAGCACAGGAAUCGACCUUUGUCCAGAGCCCACCUCCCACCCCCCCGGUUCAUGCAGAAGCCUUCUCUUCACUGUCCUAUAAUAACUUGAAUUCUUGCAGGGACGGGGAGCUUACCACCUGGCAGGGGAACCUGACUACUGGGCCCAUCAGGCUGCUGCUGCUGAGCCUAAAUUUGCUUCCAUGUGACCCACCCACUCCUCUGUCCACAUUUUGUGCCUUCCACCCCCCUCAACAUCCUGCCCCCACAAAGAGCUAAAUGUGAAAACUAGUGGACGGGAAACCAUUGAAGAAGCAAUUUGUCCUGGAAAAAACACAGUCCAGUUUGACCUUCAGGCUGUAGAGGUCAGUCUUCCUCCACAGCCAGCCUGGCACCAGCCGUGGGACGCUCAGCCCACAUCCAUUCACCAAGGGUUGAAAGGUGAUGAGAACAAUCGAGAUGUAGGGAGGGGUGGGGAGGCUGAGCAUGCCCUUUGAGGGGGUGGAUGAAGGGAUGCUGCCUUCUUGCACUGGAAAGGAUGCCCCGAGCCAGUGGACAAGGCUGGUCUGUGAGUCAGCCGACCUAGUCAGAGUUAUCCCAACUCUGCUACUGACUGCUAGGCUACUUUGAAUAAGUUAGGGUCUCAGAGCCUCAGUUUCUCCAUUUGUAAACUGGGCUAAUGAAGCCCACUCUUAAUCCGUGCCCAGGCUGCAGUGGACUCACUGAGGAUGCUCACUUCUUAUGUGGUCCUUGGCUCAUGGCAAGAGGGCACUCAGGUUACCUCCUUUCCCGCCUUCCAGCCUUGCCUGGGUCUUGGGGGCUGAGCAGGAUUUCUCCAGAGGAAGAAGAUGUGGAAAAGCAUUUCCAGGUGAAGGAACAGCAUGGGCAAAGCCUGGGGUCCACCAGCAUGUCAGGAGUACUUGGGGAGCAGCAUGUGUUUUAGGGGAGUCGGGAUGUGGGGGUGAAGAAGCAGUAUGGCCUGGGGGCAGUGGGGCCCUGGGUACCACUGUCCUAGAGGGCAGAGUGAGGGUGCCUGGAGCCUCGGCAGGAGCAGGUGCUUCCUGUGAAGUAGCCCCACCUCCUUUUGUCCUCAGCCUGGGGACAGAGUGCACUCGCCUGGCCUCCUGGGAUCCCAACACAAGGCAGGGCCAGGAAAGCCAAACAAAUUAAAACAUGUCAGAAACAAUCAUCAGAAGAGACAAGAGCUACUAGCUCCCAGCCAACACUCAGCCCUAAACGCACGGAACCGUUUGAUGGUGAAACCCAGUCCUGGAACAUUGGAGCAUUUUAGAUGGAUCUGGCAAGUUUUAUUCUGAUGUAAAGAGCCGGAUUUU
Molecule: long non-coding RNA, 5697 nt
Filed under: Sus scrofa (pig)
Lineage: Eukaryota; Metazoa; Chordata; Mammalia; Artiodactyla; Suidae
Description: lncRNA (ENSSSCG00055009864.1)
Source: RNAcentral